Molecule: long non-coding RNA, 177 nt
Organism: Morus notabilis
Lineage: Eukaryota; Viridiplantae; Streptophyta; Magnoliopsida; Rosales; Moraceae
Exons: 3
Source: RefSeq, a predicted model, not a curated record
UGUUCUUGGUACACCAGACAUGACUGCUUUCCCCGACGGGGUAAAUACAUCCCGAUUAUGUGGGAUUACAAGUUAUGAGAAGAUAUUGCCUGCGAACCUGUCUGAUAUCAUUCCCAAUGCAAGCCCAGAAGCUAUUGAUUUAAUCAGGCGACUUUGUUCAUGGGAUCCAUCAAGGAG